UGGGGAAUAUUGCACAAUGGGCGCAAGCCUGAUGCAGCAAUGCCGCGUGAGUGAUGAAGGCCUUAGGGUCGUAAAGCUCUUUCGCCUGUGAAGAUAAUGACGGUAGCAGGUAAAGAAACCCCGGCUAACUCCGUGCCAGCAGCCGCGGUAAUACGGAGGGGGUUAGCGUUGUUCGGAAUUACUGGGCGUAAAGCGCACGUAGGCGGACCAGAAAGUUGGGGGUGAAAUCCCGGGGGCUCAACCCCGGAACUGCCUCCAAAACUAUUGGUCUAGAGUUCGAGAGAGGUGAGUGGAAUUCCAAGUGUAGAGGUGAAAUUCGUAGAUAUUUGGAGGAACACCAGUGGCGAAGGCGGCUCACUGGCUCGAUACUGACGCUGAGGUGCGAAAGUGUGGGGAGCAAACAGGAUUAGAUACCCUGGGUAGUCCACACCGUAAAACGAUGAAUGCCAGUCGUCGGGUAGCAUGCUAUUCGGUGACACACCUAACGGAUUAAGCAUUCCG
This 501-nucleotide ribosomal RNA is filed under the name uncultured bacterium. RNAcentral describes it as "bacterial SSU rRNA". It matches the Rfam family "Bacterial small subunit ribosomal RNA", at positions 355 to 871 of the family's 1533-position model. The record is from RNAcentral.